Molecule: ribosomal RNA, 465 nt
Filed under: uncultured bacterium
Lineage: Bacteria
Description: partial 16S ribosomal RNA
Rfam family: Bacterial small subunit ribosomal RNA
Source: RNAcentral
GACGAACGCUGGCGGCGUGCUUAACACAUGCAAGUCGAACGGAAAGGCCCUGCUUGCAGGGUACUCGAGUGGCGAACGGGUGAGUAACACGUGGGUGAUCUGCCCUGCACUUCGGGAUAAGCCUGGGAAACUGGGUCUAAUACCGGAUAGGAGCCAUUUUUAGUGUGAUGGUUGGAAAGUUUUUUCGGUGUAGGAUGAGCUCGCGGCCUAUCAGCUUAUUGGUGGGGUAAUGGCCUACCAAGGCGGCGACGGGUAGCCGGCCUGAGAGGGUGGACGGCCACAUUGGGACUGAGAUACGACCCAGACUCCUACGGGAGGCAGCAGUGGGGAAUAUUGCACAAUGGGCGCAAGCCUGAUGCAGCGACGCCGCGUGGGGGAUGACGGCCUUCGGGUUGUAAACUCCGUUCGCUAGGGACGAAGCUUUUUGUGACGGUACCUAGAUAAGAAGCACCGGCUAACUACGUG